CCUGAUGGCUCAGAGGGUAAAGCGUCUGCCUGCAAUGUGGGAGACCUGGGUUCAAUCCCUGGGUCAGGA
This 69-nucleotide transfer RNA is filed under the name Capra hircus (goat). It matches the Rfam family "tRNA". From Rfam's summary of the family: Transfer RNA (tRNA) molecules are approximately 80 nucleotides in length. Their secondary structure includes four short double-helical elements and three loops (D, anti-codon, and T loops). The record is from Rfam by way of RNAcentral. Lineage: Eukaryota; Metazoa; Chordata; Mammalia; Artiodactyla; Bovidae. RNAcentral also lists the same sequence under 1 other name.